This 6213-nucleotide long non-coding RNA is filed under the name Equus caballus (horse). RNAcentral describes it as "lncRNA (ENSECAG00000046901.1)". The record is from RNAcentral. Lineage: Eukaryota; Metazoa; Chordata; Mammalia; Perissodactyla; Equidae.
GGUGAGUCUAUACCUAGGGUUGGUAUGAAUGAUAUUAUCAGUUAAUCUGGUGUUUUAAUUCAGAGUUUUAAACAGUUCCACACUGGGACAUACAUACAUUUUUGUCCAUGUAAAGAUUCAAUCAACAAGAGCUAACAUUGUCUUGCUAUUCAAAUAAGCUUUGGCAUGUCAGACUGGGUUAUAACUAUGUCCUCUUUGUGAAUAAUUCAGAAAAGAAGAAACCAUUAGUGGGAUUUUGGUUGUAUCUGCCUUAGCUUAAAUUCUUAAAUUCUACGUGGUUGAGAAAAAUCAAGAUCCACUGAGUUUUAUAUGUCAUGGCUUGAUAUUCGUAAAACAAAUAUUGCCUCUGUGCAUGCGAGUUUGGAGAGUGAUGGGGGAAAAGCCUUAGGUUGUGAGCGUGAAGAUGCGGGGGUCUGCAUUAAGGAGAGAAGGAGCAAUCACAUCACGUGGAAAACAUCACUCUGCGUAAGAAAUUUGUAUUUCUGUGAUUUUAGAAAGCCCACAGUUAGCUGCAGUCCGCUCCCUCUUCUCCAAUUGGCACCGACCUAUUAUGAGCUUGCUGUCACUACCCACAUCCUUUUUUAUUUAGCAUAUUGACUCCUCUAAGAGUCAGCUGGGAGUAACGAGCUGCUUUGAUGCCAGCAGCCUCUUCACUACCCAAAGGCUUGGGAUGUGCCCUUUGCUCCUGUGUCUUUGAGAUUCUAAGUUUGGGGAGAAUUCUUCUUGAUUCCCUCUGCGCAUAUUUUCUCUUCCCGAAGGCUAGGCUGUGGAUUUACAGCACCUUCCCAGUUUUUAGCACUGAAAGAUUUUUAUUCACCUCUCUGAAUAUUUCUUUGGUUAUUAAUGUAGAAAAUUGGCAUGUGGGUAGGUUAAAAACAUGGAUUCAAACCAUAAGUGCAAAGUCAGUGAUCCAAGUUUUAUAUUGUUUAAGGAAGACUUUCCAUAUAGGAUUAAAGAAAUACCCACGAUAAUCUCCAAACUAUUAUGCAUGUUCAUACUUAGAUCAAUGAGGAGAAAAUUUUGUAUUUAAAAAUUUUUUUUCUGUAGUUAAGCCUACUCUUAUCUUUAAUAUAAGCAAUGAUUUUUUAAGGAAUCAUGUUGUUGAAGGUAAGUUUUUGAUUUAAUAUGCUACUAAAACUUGCUAGGUGGACAAAAAUCAUUAUGUCCUCCAAUGUGACUUCCAGAAAUUAAACAACAGUCAAUGAUUAGUAGGAUUCUCUGAGGUCCUGAGAAUUUAUUACAGCUAGGAAUUAGAAGCCCAUAUUUUAGUUUCUCCUUUAGGUAGAAACCAAGUCAAAUUCUAAGAAACAUUAAUCGUUUGCUCAUAAGUGAAGGGGAACAUUUGAGUUCAUCACUGGGCUUCCAGAAAACCAUCAUGAUUGUUAUUAACUAUAAACGAUGAAGUUAAACUGAAUUAUUUCUUCAGGAAAGUUCAAUUUUCUACUUGAACAUGCAUCAAGUUUCCAUUUGCUUAAUUUCUAUAGUAAUUAUUGGCAGUCCCAAUAGUUGGCAUUUACUCAAAAGCUGCCUUAUAUUUUCCUUUAGCUUCAGGCUUAUGUGACUCAGGUAAUAGAAGAGCCGUCUUCCUAGCAAAGUCCACAUUUCAUCCAUCUUUUGUUCCUUCCACAUUGCUUACCAUAAUGUAGCCAUGUAGUGGAUCUUCAGGCUCCAUUUCCUGUAAAAUGAAUAAGGGAAAAUGGGAUUGUAGAGGAUCCUGGAUAUUGUGUCGGAGUAUUUGCACUUCAUUGCAUGAGCCAUGGAAAGUGAGGACAGUGUUUCGAGAGGACGCACAGUAAAAGCAGCAUUUGGGAAAACUUUUCUUGUAGUUGUGGUUAGGAUGGACUAGGAGUGAUAGAUCAUGGAAGGAACAGCACCAGUUUGGAGGCUGCUGCAUGAAAAGAACUACUUCUGUGGGCACUUGGACCCAAGCUAACCAAAAUCCUCAUUGCUUCUCUAUUAUUCUGAUUCUCUGAGUUUUGUCCUUAUUUAUUUUUCUCUAUAUCUUCAGUGUCUUCUUCUGGUAGCCCCUCUCCUCUACGUGUUGGAGCCUUCCAAUGCAUGAAUGACUGUAAUGCCUCGAUGAAGUACCACCUCUUUUGCUAAGACUUUUCUGACUUCUUUUGUUGGUGGUUUUCGUUCUUGUCUCUGAAACUCCCAGCACUUCAUUUCUAAAGAGAACAUGACAUGUGUGCCCCUUUGAGCAUCUGAGUUUCAAGGAGUUAAGUCACUCACAUCCCUCAGUUACUGGCACACUCAUUAUCAUGGUGGGCAAGGCUACUCAUAUUGUAUUUGUUUUGUUUUCUUUCUCCCCUUCACUCUGGGUUCCUCUCUGGAUCUUGUUUGCACAAUUUUGGGCAAAAUCGAUUACGCAGGAGCUAAUAAACAGUUUGGUCUUGAAAUCCUGCUCUUAAGAGGGGUGAUUGGGAGUUUCAGAGAAAUCCAUUCCAUUUGUUUAUAGAGUCUGUGAAAAUCCUGAGAUCUAGCAGUGGAGCCUGUGGGACAUGCUAAAUGUGCGCAGUGUCUGCCUGUGCCCUUCCACUGGCGUCUCCGCCUUCUUUAGGACCUGUCUGCAGCAUCUCCGCAUCACAGUUCCUCGGAGGGCACUGAUGAGUCCUGUGAGUCACACAGGACACGCGUCGGGGAGGGGAGGAGCAGCGCUCUCUAAAAUGCUGCUGAGCCUCAAAGAAGAAACUGGUGGACUCUCUGAACUCGUGCUGAUUCAGCCGGACAGUCUCUACUCGCCACUCUGUAUGGGAACCUUGCCUCUGCUCCAGGAAAUGCCUAAGUUCACGGGUAGUAAGUGGUAGUGGUGAUGGAGUUAAUCAACUAGGUACUAUCUGGAAAUAUACAUUCUAAAGGGCUAACUACCCACCUGAUCCUCUAGAUAAACGGUGUCUUCGGAUGUCCCUGGGCUUCAUACAAGGAAUUCUGUCCUCUGCAGUUCAAAUAAGAUGAAUAUAAAUGUCUUCCCUGCUCAUUCACUCUCGUUGCUGUUCCUUGCUGGCCUUAGGUUUCACCUGGCAAAAGGUCAAAGGCCCUAGUUUAUUUCGAGUUCCAAACCUACACUUGGAAUUGGAAUUGGUGUAAAGUACGCCAAUUUCUAGGAAUUUUCCUCAGAGAAGAAAACAGUUGGCUCCUUCCUGGGAUCAUACACUAACGUAAUUCCGGUAUUCAGGACCUGGGGAGCAGUUCCUUCAGUUCAAUCCCCACACACGAGUUUUCCAGGCUGAGGACAGCUGGUAGGGGGCCGUCCAUCCUUCAAAGUCUCUGAAGGUUAUCUGUAUGGAUCAUAAGGAGGAAAAUGUCCACUUACGAUUCAGCAGUUUUGCUAUUUUAAUCCCUGCCAUAAGAGUCAGUGAUAGCCAGAGGGAUAUAAACAGAUCAGUAUAUAAAUAAAUAACCCCUCCUUUUGUGUUUACUCAUUCACCAAGCCUUUAUUGGCGCUUGUUGUAAUCAAAGCAUUGUCCUGCGUACUCUGGGAAAGCAGUCGCUAACCCUGCUCUUCAAACAUCAAGGGGCGACAGUCUCGUGGAGACAGAGAGAGACGAGCAAACAGCUAAGUACAAAGCAGAAUAUGAUAAAUCAUGUAACUGAGAAAGAAGCAGCAAAAAAUGAACAGAGAAUUAAUUCCAGCUUGGGAAAACUUAUGAAAGAGGUAAUUUUGAGCUCAGCCUUGAGAGAUAGUUGGUGGAGAAGAAUUAUAGACAAUAUAUAAAGCUGAAAGGAAAAAUUCAUGAGCAAAAGCGUGGAGGUGUGGAAGUCCACAAUGGUUAGGUUCUGGAAGAUUAGCUGAUGACGUGGAAAGGGAAGAACGUGAGGAGAUACUGAUAUCGGAGAAAGCAGAUGGAACUUGUGUGUGGUGAUUCCCACAUGCUGUCAUGAGGAUUUGGGACUUGUCCUCAGGCCAUAAAAACUUUUUGAAAGGUUUUGAAGAAGGAGUGACAUGUUCUGACUUGUGUAAUGAGAAUGACUGUCCUAAAUAUUAAUAUAGCAGGGGGUGAGAUUGGUCAUGAGGCUAUCACCCACUGUAAACAAGAGAGGCUGAGAUUCAAAGGGAGCGUGAAUAAGUCCACUUCUUCCCCUAAGAUAGAAAGAAUUGAGUCGAGGAUCAGUCGAGAGAAGGAGUAAUAUGGAGGGCAUAUGAAGGACUCACUUUAGGUUCCCUCAUCCUUCUUAAUGAAGUAGCCAGCAAGGAAAACAGCUAAGAGCCCCCCGGUACAUAGUUGUGUAUUCUUCGUUGUGGGUUCUUCUAGUUGUGGCACGUGGGACGCUGCCUCAGCGUGGUCUGACAAGCAGUGCCAUGUCCGUGCCCAGGAUUCGAACUGACGAAACACUGGGCCGCCUGCAGCGGAGCGCGCGAACUUAACCACUGGGCCAUGGGGCCAGCCCCAAGGGUGAGUUUAUUUUUUAUUUUUAUCUUUUUUAUUUUUAUCUUUUGGUGAGGAAGAUUGUCCCUGAGCUAACAUUUGUGCUAGUUUUCUCUAUUUUGUAUGUGGGAGGCUGCCACAGCAUGGCUUGAUGAGCAGUGUGUAGGUCUACACUCAGUACCCAAACCCGCAAACCCCAGGCUGCCAAAGCAGAGCACAUGAACUAAACCACUAUACCAUCGGGCCAGCCUCUCAAGUGUGAUUUUAAAAACUUCUGUUAAGGGGCCGGCCUGGUUGCUGAGUGGUUAGGGAUGCACGUUCUGCUUUGGCGGCCCAGGGUUGCACCGGUUUGGAUCCUGGGCGUGGAGCUAGUGCCACUCAUCAGGCCAUGCUGAGGUGGCAUCCCACGUGUCACAACUAGAAGGACCCACAACUGAAAAUAUACAACUAUUUACCGGGGGCCUUUGGAGAGAAGAAGGAAAAAUAAAAUCUUAAGGAAGAAAAAAACAACAAACUUCUGUUAAGACAAUAAGCCAGCUAACCUGCUGAGCGCCUAGGUCUCAGACUUUCUUGCCCCUCUAAAGACCCAAUAUUGUAGAUCUCUUUUUGAAGACACUUGACAAAUUAUCAGGCUAUAGCAAGACUAUUCAACUUCCCAUAAGAAUUUCUUUGUAGCCUCUGCUGCAGCAAAUCACCCUUCUUUAUUUCCAAUAAAACAUUUGAAGACAGAAAUCAUAUUCAAAUGUAAUCAUGACAGCAUCGUACCGUUUCUAUACAGGGUCCUGAGUCAUCCUGCGGUAAAUAUUAACCAAUGAGCCAUCAGCGGUUUGAUCUAGUAAGCCAUCCAAGUGCCUUCCUUUUGCCUUAAUAUGUUCACGGCAGCAAAGCCUGCUUCAAAAUGAGAUGCGAAACUUCCUAGCUGACAACGCCAGCUGUGUACAAAUGCUUGGGUAUUUCCCCACGUAAGGGAAAACUGCACUGUUCAUUGAGGCGCUGCAUACCCUCAAUACUGAUAUUCUAGGAAGGAACAAGGUGCGCCUGAAGCAGAGAGGCUGCAUUCACACAGGGGCAACACCCAUUACACUUGACGAGUGUGAAAGAAAUAUUCUGUGACGGACCCUAGGGUCGUCAGCCUCCCGGUGGGGGAAGCGACCUUGUGACCGGCUCAGGAACACUGCUGAGAACUGUGCGUGAAGUCACUCAGCGCUCUUCUCACGGUUCUGAUUUCAAACAGUUGAUGCUCUAGUUUCUAUUUUCUUCUAGAACAGCCUGUUUGUUAGCCCAGAGAGAUGGCAUCAGAACACUUUGAUUCUUGGUUUUCCAGUGAUUCAUACUGUCCUCCAGGUUUAUAGGCUAUUUGUUCCAUCAUUUAUUCAUCUCCUUUUAGGGUCUUGGAACUGGGGGCGGUGCCAGGCAGACAGAGAUAAAUAAAACAAUUUGACUACAUCCUAAUAAGACCCAGUUCAGAUUUCUGAACGCCAAAAAUGUAAGACAAUAAUUUUGUGUUGUUUUAAGCCACUAAAUUUGUGGUCGUGUGUUAUAGCAGCCAUAGGAAAUGAAUCCACCCUCCUUUUCCUGUAAAACUUGCCUUUCUGAAUACUUCAGCACAUUUAGCCAAUCAGGCAUUUUUGCUGGAAAUUGACACUUUUAAUCAGUUUUGUCCUAACUUUGAUUUGAACAUGUAGCAGUUUAAUUACCCUCUUGAAUAUGUGAGUCAUAUCAUUGUCAUAUCUACUGAGAUCUGAAGAAAAGCCAUCUAGCAAUAUUAAUUAUGUGAGAGGAUGGCAUUUCUUUCUCUUAUUUGAAUUAUGUCUCAUCAAUUGGAUUAUCUUGCUUGUGUAAUUAC